AAAGUGAUGAUGGGUUUUAGGCAUAAGAACAAUCCUAUGUGCUCAUACAAACCCUAAUGCUUGGAUCUAGGUUUCUCUAUUGUACAUGCUUUGAAUCCAAGACUAAUAAACAUAGAUCUAACAUAUUAUAAACUGAAUUAGGGUUUAGAGAAUUACCUUUGAUUGUUAUAUAGAAAUAACAAUCAAUUCCUUGCUUGGAUUGGCUUCAAAAGCUUAGUGCCUCAAGUGCUGCACCUCUAAUGGAGUCACAAACACCUUAUGCAACUUGGAUGAAGAGGAGAAGAAGAGAGGCUGCCCAAAAACGACUAGAAACCCUAGAGAAUUAGUUGUCCACGUUUUUGGGGCCUAAGGGGUCCUUUAUAUACUUGUGUGGGCUGCUAGGGUUUCAGUCAAAACCCUAAUGGACAGCUUAAACUCUAAGCAGCCCAUGGAACCUUCUGGAUAAGGCCAUGGACGAAAAUAUGAUGGGCUUCCAUCAUAAUUUCGUUCACCCCUUAUUCCUUUAGCAUUCCUUAGCCCAAUAACUCAAUUAUCCAAUAAUUGCAGUCCAGUCCCCUAAAUUUAAUUAAUCUCUUUUAGCCACAAAAUUAAUUAUCAAUUAAUUCUUGACUAAUACUAAUUAAACAAUAUGAUUUCUCCUUUAAUAUAUUAUUCUCAUAAUAUAUUAAUAAAUCAUAUUUAAACCUUUCUCUCCUUAAAUCAUCCUACAUAUUGCUAUGGUGAAGGCAACCCAAAAGGACCAUGCUCAUAAUCGGGUCAAGUACAUACCAAAAUAGUUAUGGACUUAGACACUAAUCCAACAGUCUCCCACUUGGAUAAGUCUAAUAACUAUUUUCCGUAUGACUUCAAAACCUGAUCAGCAAUCGUAGCUUUCAAAAGCCGCUGUCAACUCUGAUCUUAUCAGAUAGCGUGUCCUCUAGAUAAGGGAUUAUAUAUUCCUCCAUUCUCAAGAUAUCGUAUAGACAAAAGACAUGAAUUUCAAUCAUUCUCUCUAUACUUUUUCCCGACUUCCGAUUCAUGACGACUGAUAACAGACUACAAUUGAACACAUCAACUUAGUCCCGGCUUGGCCAAGCGCUUAGAUGUCAUCACUAAAUCAUCGAGAGGCCCACAUAUAUCGCUUUUAUCCCACUUUGGGUAAAAGGAAUGGAUAAACUUCGACUCAAAUGCUCGCUUGCAUUUACUGAUCGAAUCACACACAACAAUAAGUUUUAUAACACCAAGUUACUGGUGCGUUUACUUAUUAUCAAUGUGUAACUGACCAACAAAUAACAACUCACACGUCUCGGUUUCAAGAAUAUACAAUAUUAUCGUCUCACUAAUCACUCGUGAUAAAACCGUGAAGUGAUCCAAGUGAGCGUGGGUUUAAUCCAAUACUUUAAUCUUAUCAAAGCACUCACGAACUCUGCAGCAAACUUGUGCCAUGUCUAAACACUUCAGACAAUCUACAGACAGAUUCAUGACAGUCUUUAUUCAUACCUACUCCCAACGUAUGACCAACUGUGGAUGUUUGAAUAACCUAGUUAUUCUGGAAGUCAAAACAUGCAAAUUGAAACAUGACAACAAUACUUAAUCCUAUAUGGCCCCAAACUUGUGAGAGUAAAUAAAACCCUUCUAUUUAUCCACCAUAUUGAUUACUCAUUAUUUAUCAUUUAAUGUUUCGGAUAAUCAACUCAUUACUUGAAUUAUACCAACAAUUGUCCCAUGCUCUAAACAUGCACACUUUGUUUCCUAUGGUCCAUGCUUUGUGAAAUAGAUCACCUGAAAACUUUUCCAAUGAUGCUCAUUUCACAAUUCCUUAAUCCUAAUUAUUAGUGUAGGAACACAAGGUUCUUGCCACUACUAGAAUAUGCUAGAUUCUAACAUUUUACGCAACGAUCCUUUCGUAAAGUCAUAGCACAAAAAUCACCAAGACUUGGCUAAUGAAAUUACAAAGUGCUUUCUUAGAAAUUGUUACAAGACAAUUCCAUAGAUGUGAAGUCUCACAUUCAAAGUACAUUCCUUUGAACAUCCUUCUUGCAUAAAAGUUUCUAAUCUAGGCAUAGACUCUCAAUAUCCAACUCCCAAUAUGGAAACAUUUCCACAUUUGCCAUAUGACAACUCAUUCUUAAUAGAAUCUUAUCUAUUCGUAAUAAUGUCGAUAUGGUCCAUCCAAUACCAUACUUUCAACUACUUACAAGCGAUCAAUCCUCAGCGAACUUUGGAUCAUCCUUUGAUAGUUGUUAAAUUCUUUCAGUCAAAACCAAUUCUAUUCCUUUUUCCCUCUUAAUGCGCUAGACAUUUGGAAAAUUUUAGAAUGGUAAAAUAUUAUAGCAUUUGCAAUCGAUCCUAUACCCGAAGCGUAUGGGACACGAUGCAUAAUGUCUUACAUAAAGAUAUGAUACUUUACCAAUCUUUUGCCAUAAUAUUUUAUGUGUCAUGUUCUCACAAUUCGAACUAUGAAGAGGGAUGCCGUAAUCAUAAUCGAAUUUUAAGAACACACAAUGUAUCCUUUGACUGAAAAUAUUAAAAUUUCUUAAUCUAAGCUUUAGAUUUUGAAACGAAGUAUAAUAUUCUCUCCCUUAAUUAUAGCAAAACAACUUUUCAACCCAUGCAACUUUGCAAAUUGAAUCUUUGUUUUUCUAUAAUUAAUAUUGCUAACUUGCAAUACUCGCCAUAAUAAUCAUACAAGCAUAACACUUAUGCUCCCACUAUCAUGAUGAUUAUUAUCAUAUAAGCAUAACACUUAUGCUCCCACUAGCUUUGACAUGUAUUCAGAAAACAAAUGAACUUUCAGAAAACAAUGCCUAUUGAAUUUCUGAAAUUCAUAUUUCUAAUACCAGAUGCUUCGAUAAGCCUUUAUCUAAGCUUCUUAACCUUAUACACCUUUGCCUUAGAUAGCUCAUAUGUGUGUUUAAACAAUUCAUAACUUAUGUUACUAAGUUCCAAAUGUUGAAACUAAUUGCCAAAUCUCACAAUUCGAACUAUGGAAAGGGAUGCCGUAACCAUAAUCGAAUUUGAGAAUACAAUUUUCACAAUUGCUAUCUUCUUAAAAUCUCUCUUAGUGAAAGCAUUUCCUCACAGUCAUUUUCAUGAAGGAGGGAAUCUUAUGACACUUAGAUUUUAUGGUGUAUGAGUUCCUAUCCAUGUGAAUUUGCCAAAACCAAGGUUUGCGACAAAUCCAAACUCAUAUGGACUGAACUUUCUUAAUCUUGAUUUCUUGCCUUAUGGUAACACGAGUGCCCACCAUGUCUUCCAAGUAGUUUAGUAAUUUGUCCUUACAUAUCAAUGUACUUUCCAUCGACUAAGGCUCUAGUAUGCAUUCAAAUGAGAACUCAUAGAACUCACAUACACAAUUAACUCAAUUGGAAUGGCAUAGAAACAAAAUAAUGUCAGCACGAUAGGUUGUAAACCUCAAGUCGUGUGCUAGUGAUGAUCGAUAAGGUUUAUUCUUGAUUUGUUCUUGAAACCUUUCAAGACCAUUAAGACUCCCACUGACUCCUUGAUAUAUAAGAUUCUCUUGUCAAGAAACAUUUCUUGACAAAGCAAAUAUUCAAGAGUUAGUGUAGUUCUUAUCAAGACAAAACACUUCACAUAAUUGGUCCUAGUUGGUCUUUGUCUUAUCCAAGACAGCACAACUUACCAAUUUCAAAUGUGCAAGAAUAAGAAAACUUUUCCAAGUUCCACAUUUGAUGAGUGUUAUAAACCUACUUAAGACUUUUCACUCAAUGUCACAAUCUUGACUCUAAGACUUGAUAUUGGAACGAAGUAUGAUUGACUUCUUGAUUUAACCAUUUCUACAAUUCUCGAUUCCUCUUCUUAGACAUGCAAUUGCACUAAGACUCACUUAGAGGAUCUAUUGAGACAUGGUUCUUAAUCUUUAAGACUUAUCAUAAAACACAAUAAAAGGUACUCUCCUUUCUUCUUAGAAAAGAGAAACUUUUAUCUUUCUGCCUACUUGAUUCUUCUUUAUUCGUUCUACUAUUCAUUGAAACUCUUUCAAUCAACUCAGAAUUACACUUAAUCUUAUAAGUAUAAUCAUAUUUACUAAACUUUAGUAAAUCAUGACGAAUAUCUUUGUCACUCUUGUGGUGGACUUGAUCAACGCACAACCUUGUGUACUUGAUCUCCUUGUCCUUCAAUUGACACUUUGCCAAAGAAUUAGUCUAAGUUUCCCAAAUGUGAAAGUUUUUCAUUCAUCAUACAAUACACAUUGCAUGAUUCCAAGUUUCUGUCCAAUUGAAACUUGGGCGAUGAGAAACUCUCCCUAUUUGGUAAACUUUUGAUAUUUCCACAAAUAACAUAAUUAAGAAUCAAAUCCAUUUUGCUAACAAUAGAAGUACACAAACAUCAAUUUUUCAUAUAUUUCAUUCCAAGGAUAAACAAAUAAGAUAAAAACCAAAAUUUAUUUUAUUCAUAAAAACAGCGGAAAACAUAUCCUUACAAUGCAAAAUUCAAAUGAAAAACUAUGCAAUCAUAUACUCCUAACAAUUCUAUCAUAACUUCCUAAGCUCAUAAUCUGAUCUUCAAAUUCAUGUGAUCGAAAUCCAUUUCUUCGUGAUCAGACUCAUCUUGCUCUUCCAUCAAACUUCCUCUAUUUUCUCUAAUCCUGCAAAACAUGCCAAUGUAAUCUUAUCACAUUAUGAAUAAAGAAUAGGAAUUUAAAUGGAGUUAGAUAGUGGAUUUUAUACCUGAAGUAGAGCCAUACUUAUCGACUCUCCUAUCUCUUAGAUUCUUCAGGUCCUUCGGGCAGCUUCGUAUCCAUUGCCCCUUCCCUUGGCAGCAGGAACAGGUGGUGUCCAUGGAAGCAUGGUUGGUUGAGUUAUCAGACAAAUAUGCUCCAUUACUUCGCCAAAUCAUUUCUGAUUCAGCAGCAAUAAUCAUGUAAGUCAAGUCAAUGAGGGUUGCAUCAAGUUUCAUCAUAUGAUACUCUCUUAUGAACUUAUCAUAUGAUUCAGGGAGUGACUGAAGAACCCAGUCCAUAGCCAACUUAUUUGAGAUACACGCACCCAACAUAAUCAACCUAUCAAUGUGUGAUUUCGUCCCUAGGAUGUGAGCACACACGGGUUUGCCAUCUUGAUGUUCCAUUUCCAAUAGGGAUUCGGUGAUCUUGAACCUUUCAAAUCUUCGAUCAUUAGGGUUAGGGAGAACAACGGGAGGAAGAGGAGGAAGUGAAAUCAAGCUAGUCCACAGUGAUCCUUCACUUUGAAUCAAGCUUUCACUUUCAUUAGGAACACUUUUUCCUUGGGAUUCGGGAAUACCACGGUUAGAGUCAGACAUCUACAAAACGGGAGAAAAUUCAAGUUAAGUUGAUUGAGUCCUUAAUAAAACACCCAAAUGAGUUAUUAAGGCUAGGAUCCAACACAAUAUUCUACAACCUAGAAAAGGGAUGCCGUAAUCUAGUUGCAAAAUAUUUGAAGGUAGGUAAAUGACGAUUUACCAAUUUCCACCAUGAAAAACGAAAAGGAAGAUUAAGUUUUAAAUGAAUUGAAACUCCUAGAUCUUUUGAGAUUCAUUGAACUUUUCAAUGGCAUGUUUAAUCUCGAUUAUGCCCUACUAUUUGUGACUGGGAUGCCGAGGAUCACAAAUAAGGUGUGAAUAACCAUACGAAUCACGUGGUGCACCCAAUGCUACUAUCACCUAAUCAAUGUGCCGGUUAGCCACACACGCUCCAUUGAUCUAUGACAAACAUCGAGUCACCCUUCGCUACCAAUGUCAUCCCCAAAUUAGUGUGCCGGUUAACCACACACGCUCCACUAACGUUUGACAAGGGUACGAAGUGUAAUUCCAUGGGUUAGCAUACAAUUUCACAUUUUUCCUAAAGUAACUAUGAUUUGGGAAUUUGAAAAAGCAUUUAGUUACUUUGUACUUCAUUAUACUUAUAAUGGAAGGUUUCUGUCCUAUCCUACCCGUUCGGCUAACGACCCUCCACUAGUCAAGAGUGCGGUGGGUAAGAGUGGAUACCCAUUCAAUCGCCAUUUUAUAGGCAAUUUCCUUAAACACCCCUUAUAGACCAGCUUCGUGAAUGAGGCCUACUAACGGUAAGACUGACUGUUUACUCAUACAUAUAUAAUAUUAGACUUUUAAUGUCAUAUAUAGUAUAGGGUGUAUUUUACACUUUUAAAAUACUAGGUGGUUUAAUUUAGUAAAUUUAUACUUUUAAUUUAAUUAAAUGUAAACCAAAACUUUAUGGGUUUAUUAAAUCACUUUUAAUUAUACACUUUAAUUAAUUAAUAAAACCAUAAGGGUGUGAUUUGAACUUUUCAAAUUACUAGGGUUUUAGAAUUUAACAUUUCAAAAUUAAACUUUUAAUCAACUUUUAAAUUCCAAAACUUGAGGGCAAGUUUUGAAACAUUUCAAAACAUUAGGGAUCAAAUAACAAAUAAUUCAAAUUAAACAAUUAAUUUCAUAAUUAUCUAUAUUUGACCUAAUCUUAUUUUAGUCACUAGAUAAUUACCAAAUAAUUUGAAAUAAUCCAUAUUUAUCAUAUAAACAACCAAUAUUUAAAAGAUUUGAAAUUAUCUAUUGUUUUGGCAAGGAUAAUCAUUAAUUUAAGAUAAAAAUCGGAUUUUUACUUCAAAAAAUGAAUUAUGCAUCAAAUCCAAGUCAAAGCAGUAGCUAAAUCCCGAAAUACCCUCUGCCUGACGCACUGGCUCGCCGAGUCAGACCUGGACUCGCCGAGUAGGGCCAACUCGCCGAGUUGUGUCGGGCAGAGGCAAAAAACUCGAUUUUAAGCAAACAAAACAGUUAAGCAUCACAUAAAACUGAAACCAAUCAAGGCUCUGAUACCACUGAUGGGUUUUAGGCAUAAGAACAAUCCUAUGUGCUCAUACAAACCCUAAUGCUUGGAUCUAGGUUUCUCUAUUGUACAUGCUUUGAAUCCAAGACUAAUAAACAUAGAUCUAACAUAUUAUAAACUGAAUUAGGGUUUAGAGAAUUACCUUUGAUUGUUAUAUAGCAAUAACAAUCAAUUCCUUGCUUGGAUUGGCUUCAAAAGCUUAGUGCCUCAAGUGCUGCACCUCUAAUGGAGUCACAAACACCUUAUGCAACUUGGAUGAAGAGGAGAAGAAGAAAGGCUGCCCAAAAACGACUAGAAACCCUAGAGAAUUAGUUGUCCACGUUUUUGGGGCCUAAGGGGUCCUUUAUAUACUUGUGUGGGCUGCUAGGGUUUCAGUCGAAACCCUAAUGGACAGCUUAAACUCUAAGCAGCCCAUGGAACCUUCUGGAUAAGGCCAUGGACGAAAAUAUGAUGGGCUUC
RNAcentral lists this long non-coding RNA (7237 nucleotides) under Lactuca sativa (garden lettuce). RNAcentral's name for it is "long non-coding RNA (LSAT_LNC000028)". Lineage: Eukaryota; Viridiplantae; Streptophyta; Magnoliopsida; Asterales; Asteraceae. The record is from RNAcentral.